RNAcentral lists this ribosomal RNA (781 nucleotides) under Escherichia coli. Its description in RNAcentral is "partial 23S ribosomal RNA". It matches the Rfam family "Bacterial large subunit ribosomal RNA", at positions 1 to 815 of the family's 2925-position model. The record is from RNAcentral. Lineage: Bacteria; Pseudomonadati; Pseudomonadota; Gammaproteobacteria; Enterobacterales; Enterobacteriaceae.
GGGUUGUGAGGUUAAGCGACUAAGCGUACACGGUGGAUGCCCUGGCAGUCAGAGGCGAUGAAGGACGUGCUAAUCUGCGAUAAGCGUCGGUAAGGUGAUAUGAACCGUUAUAACCGGCGAUUUCCGAAUGGGGAAACCCAGUGUGAUUCGUCACACUAUCAUUAACUGAAUCCAUAGGUUAAUGAGGCGAACCGGGGGAACUGAAACAUCUAAGUACCCCGAGGAAAAGAAAUCAACCGAGAUUCCCCCAGUAGCGGCGAGCGAACGGGGAGGAGCCCAGAGCCUGAAUCAGUGUGUGUGUUAGUGGAAGCGUCUGGAAAGGCGCGCGAUACAGGGUGACAGCCCCGUACACAAAAAUGCACAUGCUGUGAGCUCGAUGAGUAGGGCGGGACACGUGGUAUCCUGUCUGAAUAUGGGGGGACCAUCCUCCAAGGCUAAAUACUCCUGACUGACCGAUAGUGAACCAGUACCGUGAGGGAAAGGCGAAAAGAACCCCGGCGAGGGGAGUGAAAAAGAACCUGAAACCGUGUACGUACAAGCAGUGGGAGCACGCUUAGGCGUGUGACUGCGUACCUUUUGUAUAAUGGGUCAGCGACUUAUAUUCUGUAGCAAGGUUAACCGAAUAGGGGAGCCGAAGGGAAACCGAGUCUUAACUGGGCGUUAAGUUGCAGGGUAUAGACCCGAAACCCGGUGAUCUAGCCAUGGGCAGGUUGAAGGUUGGGUAACACUAACUGGAGGACCGAACCGACUAAUGUUGAAAAAUUAGCGGAUGACUUGUGGC